RNAcentral lists this ribosomal RNA (1177 nucleotides) under metagenome. RNAcentral describes it as "bacterial SSU rRNA". The stretch from base 140 to 1177 matches the Rfam family "Archaeal small subunit ribosomal RNA". The record is from RNAcentral.
UUGCCCUCUCCUUUCUCAUAGUGUUAUCUACACACUAUAACAGCUAAAAGUUGUUCUCUUAGCACUCCGGGUAACCUUAUCACACUUUCGUGCAUUGUAAAGGUUUCGCGCCUGCUGCGCCUCGUAAGGCCUGGGACAUUGUCUCAGUUCCCAUCUCAGGGCUACCGCUCUCACGGCCCUGACCGAUCAUAGGCUUGGUGAGCCAUUACCUCGCCAACAACCAUAAUCGGAAGCGAUCCUAUCCUUCAGCGAACUUACCGCAUUUAGUAAGUCCCUGGUCAAAGCUGGCAGCUUAACUGUCAGUUCGCUAGGAAAACUGCUUCACUAGAGGGCGGGAAAGGUCUGAGGUACUCCAGGGGUAGCGGUGAAAUGCGAUAAUCCUUGGGGGACCACCAGUGGCGAAAGCGUCAGACUGGAACGCGCCUGACGGUGAGGGACGAAAGCCAGGGGAGCGAACGGGAUUAGAUACCCCGGUAGUCCUGGCUGUAAACGAUGCACGCUAGGUGUUGGUAGGGCUAUGAGCUAUAUCAGUGCCGUAGGGAAACCGUUAAGCGUGCCGCCUGGGAAGUACGCUCGCAAGAGUGAAACUUAAAGGAAUUGGCGGGGGAGCACCACAAGGGUGAAGCCUGCGGUUCAAUUGGACCCAACGCCGGGAAACUUACCGGGGGCGACAGCAGAAUGAAGGUCAGGCUGACGACCUUACCAGACAAGCUGAGCGGAGGUGCACGGCCGUCGCCAGUUCGUGCCGUGAGGUAUCCUGUUAAGUCAGGCAACGAACGAGACCCACACACUUAGUUGCCAUCAAAAGCCUUCGGGUUUGUUGGGAACGCUAAGCGGACUGCCAUCGUACAGGUGGAGGAAGGAGUGGGCCACGGCAGGUCAGUAUGCCCCUAAUCCCCCGGGCCACACGCGGGCUGCAAUGGUAUGGACAAUGGGUUGCGACUCUGAAAAGAGAAGCCAAUCUCGAAACCAUAUCUCAGUUGGGAUUGUCGGCUGUAACCCGCCGACAUGAACGUGGAAUCCCUAGUAAUCGUGUGUCAUCAUCGCACGGUGAAUACGUCUCUGCUCCUUGCACACACCGCCCGUCGCUCCAUCCGAGUGUAGUAUGCUUGAAAAAUGGUCCCUGGGGUCAUUUUGAAAGUGUGCUACGCGAGGUGGGAGAAGUCGUAACAAGGUA